UGCAGCUGCUGCCCUAAGGCAGUCAUUUUGCAACUGAUUGUUGUGUGCUUCACAUUGCUGUCUCCCCACCACAGGUGGUUUAUGAAGAAGACAUUUGGCUUUUGAGCACAAAAAACAUAAAUCUGAUCAAUGAGACUUUCAGAAACCUGGUCUGAUCAUGAUGGAAGGUAAUCAAAACACAUAAUUAAACAGGAGUUCUGAAAAGCAGAUACCUUAUUUCAAACAAGCUGGAAUAACAUAUGGGAGAUGUUGGAAUAUGAUGUUGCAAUGACCUUUAGUUAUUCCCAGUGUUUACUACUUUGGAAAAGGUUUCUCCAUCAUUUGGGUUCUUGGCAUUUUUCCAGCCUGGCACUGAAUGAAUGCUUUUAGCUUUGCAAGCAGACAUCUGUGGAAGCCGAGGGUCAGGGACCCAAUCCAAAGCUAAUUGACUUCAAAUUUCCUUGGAUCAGGCUCUAGUUAGGUGGCGAAAACAUUUAGGACCAUCACACUGUACUCCAGUGCACAGGUGCUCUCAACUACCAACUAUAUGUGAGCUUGAACCUGAGCAGACUAAGGACAUUUCAGAAUUUGCACAAUGUUAACAGAUACUGGGUUUUGUGGCAUACAAAUCGUUCAUCUUCAGGCACCAGGCACCGGGAAGUUUUGUUCGAGGACUGAAAAUAUCCAGAUCGGGAGAUACCACAGUAAUUCCAAACAUGGCAUAUCCCCACCAAGAACCUAAGGAUUGCCUCUGUGUCUCCUUGUAUUUGCUCCAUCCUUCAAGGCCUCCUGCAACCAACCACCAUCAUAUAAAGCCAUGAAUAAUACUUCAAAAUCAAUGAGAGAGAUCACUACUGAGCAAGACAAGAUUUUCUCUACUGAUUAGAAUGAGACAUGAGUGAAAGGUUAAAGAUCUUAUAUGGAAGAGUGCUGUGGUUUGCAAAGUGGUGUUAGACAACUCACAUCCUGGAGGAAUACUCUGCAUGUGAUGAGCUUACUGAGACAAAAUGGUUGAUGAAUUGGGUGUGACAUUGCUAUGUAUCAGCCAGGCGGACAGAGCGUUCAUCCUUCUGUAUGUAUUGAAGAUGUUUGAGAGAGACAACUAUACCUGGAACUGGAGUUCUAGGUGGCUAGUAAAGUAGCAUCAGGGUAUCUAUUAGCAGACAAGAAAAAAAAAUUGGCAAAGCAGAGGACAAACCAUUUGGUAACCCAUACACCUAACUCUCAAGUCUGUGUGAAACUGUGGAUUUCUUAUUGUCUCAUUAUGAAAAAUGCUCCAACUGGGUUAGGCAUCCUUUUGUGUUUGGUUUGGUGCUGUACUAAAAUAUGAUCUCAAAAUGUAACUUCUUUUUCACUUGGAUUUCUAAAUGUUACUCUCCAACUAACCUGCAUUGAAAACUGUUUGCAUUAGCAAAGCAGCAAAAUUAAAAUCCUCCUUCAAGCCAUAAGGUACUCUGUAAUUGUUUUACAGUCAUCUGAGCUCAAAAACCUGAGAGAAUAGUUGGAAAAUUAAGUCACGCUCAAAAGUGCAAUGGGAAGAGGUUUCUCUGAAGACAGUAGAAAGACUCUGACUUCAUAGUAUUUUGAAUCCUACCCAGAGAUGAUAGAAGACUGAAAAAAUGAUGGAAGAAAAUAGGCUAGUCAGCUCUGAGGAUUUUUUUUUUUAGCUUAUACCUUUUUAAAAGAAGCUUAAAUAUUUCAUUUUAGGAUUUUUUUUUUUUAAAGCCAUGCAUUCAUGAUCAGCAUUACUAUCACAGCAAACACUCAAAAUUCUUUUCCCUUCAAAUGUAAGUUUCCAGCUCUCUAACAUCCUUUUCUCUAAGCAUUUCAGUCUGUAGAAUGACUGCUUCCCUUCCCAGGAUAAUUUUUUACUCUGUGCACAAAAAUGUUCAUGUAUUUUAGAUGAACACAAUGAUUAGAAUAACACAGAAACAGUGCUGCUUAGCUACUUCGUGACUUCGUUUUCUUAACUUUAGCCAUUUAAAAUGUUGACUAGUAACUGAAGCUGUAACUUCACAUUAAAAAAGAAGUUUCUUGAAGUCCUACAGUUACCAAGCCUUGGCUCAGUUUGUAACUUGCCAUCACAUCUCAUAAUCUUUAUUGGCAUGUAUCAAUAAAAUUAUUGUCUUACACAAAAGAGAGGUAGACACUACUUCAAUAAUAGGUGUUUUGAAAACAGAAACACCCUGAUGGCACCUUUCCAAAGGGAAACUGAAGAGAUUGAAUUUCCUGACUACUACAUAAGUCAAGUGUGAGCCUCUAUGCAUAAUCACAGUGCUCAUUGCACUUGUAGAUUUAAUAGAGAACACAAUUGUGCACCAGCACAGAUAUAAGCAUGAACAAUACACACAGACACACAUGCAUGUAAGUAUAUGUUGGGUCAAAUUCUAUUUGCAUCAUUCAAGAAUCAGACUGAAUGUCAUGCAUGUUCUGUAUUCAAAUAUCUAAACAGGAUUUGGUGCUCUUUACUAACUAUGUGACUGUACAAGUACCUACAGAGAUUCAGAAAGAAUAUGCAUAAUGGGCACAGCCUGGGUGUAGGGCUUGUUUGCAUGCAUUUAAAGAGGCUCUUAUAACUUAUAGAUGAUAUCACACCUCUUCCUCAGCACUGCUUCCUUCUGCCACUCCUAACACAUGCAAAUAAAAUAAAUCCUAUAUCCAGAUUCCCCACUUUGAGUAUUGUUUGUACAAUGUUUGGUAUUUUUUUAAAUAGCUAUUUCCUUUAUUGAUCUCUUGGUCAAAACAAUGUAAAAUAAUAUUUAAUUAACUUUAUGUAUCCAUUUUAAGAAGGGAUUGAUGUGUGGUUUUUAGAGCAAGAGACUCCGAGUCGGAUCGUUGGUUCUGGCCUGGUUGUGUUGCUGUGUGACUUAUGGAAAGGUGCCUAGAUCAGCUGUUAUAUGCAGCUGCAGAAUGGUUUAAAAU
This is a long non-coding RNA of Alligator mississippiensis (American alligator), 2901 nucleotides long. RefSeq lists it as uncharacterized. NCBI's taxonomy places the organism in Eukaryota, Metazoa, Chordata, Crocodylia, Alligatoridae. The transcript is spliced from 7 exons. The record is from RefSeq and is a predicted model, not a curated record.